Long non-coding RNA from Sinocyclocheilus rhinocerous, 880 nucleotides. RefSeq lists it as uncharacterized. The transcript is spliced from 3 exons. NCBI's taxonomy places the organism in Eukaryota, Metazoa, Chordata, Actinopteri, Cypriniformes, Cyprinidae. The record is from RefSeq and is a predicted model, not a curated record.
AGAGUUCUGGGCACAUAAGCACCUCAAAUCACAUCCUGCGCCAGUGAGACCAACUGCCAUUGAGAUGAAUAGAGAUGCUAACGGCUAACAGCUUGCUCCAGGUUAUUGUAUUGGGACACUGUUGUCCUGUUUGUCAAGCGGACGUCUGUCAUUGAGCUUCUCGUCGUAGAUCCAGACUUUAUUUCCCAUGAGUCACACCUGCUGCUUCCCCUGGAGCUCACUGUGGGUUCAGUGGGACACAGAGCGGACGCCGCCUGACAUCUGAGCACGCUGAGAUCUCUCAUCUGAAAGAACACAAGUUUCAGAAAGAAAGCAGAUGGACAUCUGAAAUGUUUACCACAUGGUUGCUGUAUCCUUUACUGUGACCUUGCCUAUGAUGGAGGGGAUGGUCUUUUCUUCAUGGUUGAUGUGAUGGGCUAGUAGCUGUCAGAGCACUGGAGGACAUCAGGGAACACAUGUCUUUCUUUAUGCCACAGCCGUUGUCUGUAUCAGCGAGGGGUCACUGUCAGCCGGUAUGGGGUUCUGGCAUUUCAAGCCUGACUUGAAACUUUAGACUGAACUGGUUGAUCUAUCCAUGCUGAAGAAGAAACACAUGUGCUUUGUUCAUUGGCCUUUACUGCCCAAGCUCAUCAAAAUCUGGCGGUCCAGUUCAGACUCAUAUCAUUUUUCAGGUCACAGUGGCGCGAUAUGUAUUGACAGAACAGUUUUCUCUGCACUUGGUAGAUGAACUUCUCUGUGCUGCACCGUGAUGUCAGAUUAAUGCAUCUUUCAACAUCUAACUGUGGUUUUAAUGGGUCAUGUAACUGUGACCACACAGUGCACAUCUGAAUUCAGUAGAUAUUUCGUUUGUUCAAACCGAUAUGUUGUAAAUACAUUCCAU